Molecule: ribosomal RNA, 439 nt
Filed under: uncultured bacterium
Lineage: Bacteria
Description: partial 16S ribosomal RNA
Rfam family: Bacterial small subunit ribosomal RNA
Source: RNAcentral
CUACGGGCGGCUCCAGUGGGGAAUAUUGCACAAUGGGGGGAACCCUGAUGCAGCAACGCCGCGUGGAGGAUGACACAUUGCGGUGCGUAAACUCCUUUUAUAUAAGAAGAUAAUGACGGUAUUAUAUGAAUAAGCACCGGCUAACUCCGUGCCAGCAGCCGCGGUAAUACGGGGGGUGCAAGCGUUACUCGGAAUCACUGGGCGUAAAGAGCAUGUAGGCUGGUUUGUAAGUUGGAAGUGAAAUCCUAUGGCUUAACCAUAGAACUGCUUCCAAAACUACUUACCUAGAGUAUGGGAGAGGUAGAUGGAAUUUCUGGUGUAGGGGUAAAAUCCGUAGAGAUCAGAAGGAAUACCGAUUGCGAAGGCGAUCUACUGGAACAUUACUGACGCUCAGAUGCGAAAGCGUGGGGAGCAAACAGGAUUAGAUACCCGAGUAGUC